RNAcentral lists this transfer RNA (65 nucleotides) under Dipodomys ordii (Ord's kangaroo rat). It matches the Rfam family "tRNA". Rfam says of the family: Transfer RNA (tRNA) molecules are approximately 80 nucleotides in length. Their secondary structure includes four short double-helical elements and three loops (D, anti-codon, and T loops). The record is from Rfam by way of RNAcentral. Lineage: Eukaryota; Metazoa; Chordata; Mammalia; Rodentia; Heteromyidae.
GGUGGCUCAGUGGUAGAGCGCUUGGCUUGCACACAUGAGGUCCUGGGUUCGAUUCCUCAGCACCA